CAUCUUGGCCGUGUCCUCCUGAAUGUGCCCAAUCUUGCCUGAUUUUGGAAGCUAAAUAGGGUCUGGAUUGGUUAGGUCUCAGAUGGGGAACGGCCAGGGUAUCUCCUGGUCGAGCUAC
RNAcentral lists this ribosomal RNA (118 nucleotides) under Pogona vitticeps (central bearded dragon). The record is from RNAcentral. Lineage: Eukaryota; Metazoa; Chordata; Lepidosauria; Squamata; Agamidae.